Long non-coding RNA from Stylophora pistillata, 2575 nucleotides. NCBI's taxonomy places the organism in Eukaryota, Metazoa, Cnidaria, Anthozoa, Scleractinia, Pocilloporidae. The record is from RefSeq and is a predicted model, not a curated record.
UGGGACUGAAAACUGGACCUCAAGCAUCACUUGCCCUUUAGAACAAGUUAGUAGUCGUGUGGUUACGUAGUUUUUGGAUGGAAAUGAUAACAGCUGCUGCAGAAUGCGAAUGGAGACAGGAUGGAGAGCAUUAGGACAUUCAGCCAGAGUUAAGAGAUUUGCAUCGUUUUACAGAGGUGCCAGUAGUGGACGGUGGGUUCAGCCCUAAGGAUGGAAUUUGAAUUUAUCCUAAUUGAUGAUUGCUUUGUUGUGAAAUCCAAGUAGUAGCUGAUGAAGCAGGAAAGAAAGAUGCUCUUUCAAUCUCGUUUGAGGUUUGGCAGUGCAGCCUAUUUCGUGAGCUGAGAUAAGUAGUGAUGUAGAUAACAUAGAAACAUUACAAAUGCAAGAAAGAUAAGUUUUAACUUUUGCUUAAAUGCUUCCACGAGGUUUUCACUCUAACAAAUUGCGAUGAAACUGGGCUAAGAUUAAAUAGGCGAUGCGAGGAACAACACAUUUUUAGAAAACUACUCCUUUAGGACAUGGAGUUUUCGUUAGUCUUGAUAUAUGAUACUAAGAGGUCGGUGUCACCCACAAAAUAUCUUCGUUAGUCUUCAUCUGUGAAGCAAAUACUUGGUCCCACAAAAAAGGGAAAAAGUGUUUCGAAAACGGAUUGUCUACAUACGCUGAAUAGAAGUUUGACUUUGUACUGACUUUCAAUUGACUUUGAACUCUGAUGCAAAGUCUUGGUCCCCAAUAUAAGUGGUUAAAAUGUUCCGGGCACUGGACUGUCUUUACGCACUGAUCAGGUGUUUGACUUUAUACAAAUGAUGGGAGACUCAAUGCUGACCCUUUCAUGGGUUGGUGUCCCCCCACAAAGCCUCUUCCUUAGUCUGAUCUGUGAUGCAAAGACUUGGUCCCCCAAAAAAGGAUGAACUGUUUCGGACACUGGACUGUCUUUAUACGCUGAGCAGACGUCUGACUUUGUACAAGAGAUGGGAGACUAAAUGCUGACCCUUUCAUGGGUUGGUGUCCCCCACAAAGCCUCUUCCUUAGUCUAAUCUGUGAUGCAAAGACUUGGUCCCCCAAAAAUGGGAAAAACUAUUUCGGACACUGGACUGUCUUUAUACGCUGAGCGGACGUAUGACUUUGUACAAGAGAUGGGAGACUAAAUGCUGACCCCUUUACGGGUUGGUGUCCCCCCAAAAAUCUCUUCCUUAGACGGUCUCGAUCUGUGAUGUAAAGACUUGGUCCCCAAAAAAGAGGAUAAACUGUUUCGGACACUGGACUGUCUUUAUGCGCUGAUCAGAUGUUUGACUUUGUGUGAGGAGUGCAUAUUACCCAAAAAAUCUCAAAAAAAGAUUCAAUUAUAACCCAUUUAAGACAAGACUUCAUAUAUUAAAACUUGUAUGUAAACGGAAAAAAUUUAGGAGAGUUUUGUACUUUUUAUUUUAAAACAGGAUUCAAGGAAGAGAGGGAAUAUCGAUGUAUAUAAAACAUCUUGGAUUUCAUUGGAUUGUGAUCUUCUCUAUGAGGUGUCCAAGAUUUCACGAAAAAUGACAACCUCAGGAAAGAAACCAAGGACAAAGAUAAUCUUUUGGUACCACGAAGGUUCUAAGUUUAGAAAGGUCAUGAAGACGAACAGAAACUUGUUUGAGAUUACAUAAAGCAUGACUACUUCAAGAAUCCAAACAAAGUGUCAAAGUCGACCGCCAUCAUUUCUGACCACUUAGAGGAAAUGUUUAAGUAUUAAAUUUUGAAAAUUCUCUCUAUCUUAUGGUAACAUCAUCUUGUAAUACGCAUGUGUAUUAAGACAGACGUUUGGUUAAACAAAAACGCAUGCGUUUGAAAUUAAUUUUGUACCACAAGAUAGACAAUGUUUUAAAAUACUAAAGAAAUCUCUAGGAAAGUGGUGGGUGUGGUGGGGGCGGAUGGAUGGUGAAACGAUCUCAAAUUGUAAUGUUGCUGUUUCGUAACAGUAUGUUACAGUAUGUUAUGUUUCGUAACAGUAUUAAAAGAAAACUGAUUAAAGGGGGUAAGUUUCUAAAGAAACUGUGGUGCUGCGUCGGUGGGGGCAACAAGUUCAACAAGUUAAUUUGAAGGGCUAACGCUGGAAUCGUCAACUUUUAAACUCUUUACGGUGGCCAUUUACAAUGUCAACUUAGUUGAUAUAACCAAGUUACCUUGUAUAAAGAGAUCUUUGUCUCACAAGCUAGGUGACUUGUCAAGUGUUAUGUGUGGUGUGGGAUGGUGGACGGAUCAAACCCCAAUUUUUCAUUUUAUUCUCUGAAUUGGGGUUCGAACCAAUUUUGCUUUUUUUCCAAGAUUUAUAUUUAUCUCUGGUCUCAUUCUUAAGGUGAUCGUGUUCCUUGGUAUCCAGCUUUGGGUUGUAGAAGAAACCUGCAAAACAAGGAAAUUUGCAUAUGAUAAGUUGUGUUUAGCACGUUGCUUUCUGAAGUGGCUUUCUGGCUCCCCAAUUCUAAAUGCUGUAAAUCAAAUUUUUUGUAAUUAUUGAUAACAUGAAUACCAAUUUCGGUGAAUUUUAGUUUGCCCUUAAUGCUUGCAUUGCUUGUUGAGGAAUUAAAAACGAUAAAAGAAA